UCAAGCUGGAAAGAGCACAGGGUGGAUGCCUGGGCACUAAGAGCCGAAGAAGGACGUGAUAAGCUGCGAAAAGCCACGGUGAGGAGCAAAUAUCCAUUGACCCGUGGAUGUCCGAAUGGGGAAACCCGGCUGAGAAGACCUCAGUCACUGUAUGGUGAAUCCAUAGCCAUGCAGGGGGAACCCGGGGAACUGAAACAUCUCAGUACCCGGAGGAAGAGAAAGAAACAUCGAUUUCCUAAGUAGCGGCGAGCGAAAGGGAAAGAGCCUAAACCGCUAUAGAAAUAUAGCGGGGUUACGGACCACAAUAAAGCUAACACGGUAGGUAGCAGAACGGUUUUGGGAAAGCCGGCCAUAGAGAGUGAAAGCCUCGUAUGCGAAACCGAAAGUGUGGCGAGUGGGAUCCAGAGUACCGCGGGGCACGUGAAAUCCUGCGGGAAGUCGGGGGGACCACCCCCCAAGGCUAAAUACUCCUUAGUGACCGAUAGUGCAAAAGUACUGUGAAGGAAAGGUGAAAAGAACCCCGGGAGGGGAGUGAAAGAGAACCUGAAACCCUGUGUUUACAAGCUGCGAAAGCACCGUAUGAGUGCGAUCGCGUACUUUUUGUAGAACGGUCCGGCGAGUUACUGUUGCAGGCGAGGUUAAGGCCGAAGGAAGGCUGGAGCCGAAGGGAAACCGAGUGUUAAGAGCGCGUAAAGUCUGUAGCAGUAGACCCGAAACCGGGUGAUCUACCCAUGUCCAGGUUGAAGCCGCCGUAAAAGGCGGUGGAGGACCGAACACACAUCCGUUGAAAAGGGUGGUGAUGAGGUGUGGGUAGGGGAGAAAUUCCAAUCGAACUCGGAGAUAGCUGGUUCUCCUCGAAAUAGCUUUAGGGCUAGCCUCGAUUUAGAUUAACGGAGGUAGAGCACUGAAUUGCCUAGGGGGCGUCAAAGCUUACCGAAGCAUAUCAAACUCCGAAUGCCGUAUAAUCGAUGAUCGGGAGUCAGACUACACGAGAUAAGUUGGGUAGUCAAAAGGGAAAGAGCCCAGACCACCGGCUAAGGUCCCAAAGUGCGUGUUAAGUGGAAAAGGAUGUGGGAUUUCGAAGACAACUAGGAUGUUGGCUUAGAAGCAGCCAUACAUUCAAAGAGUGCGUAAUAGCUCACUAGUCGAGAGGUCCUGCGCCGAAAAUUCUCGGGGCUAAAACACGCCACCGAAGCUGUGGAAACGUACGAUAGUGCGUUUGGUAGAGGAGCAUUCUUAAAUCGGCGAAGCUGUACCGAAAGGAGCAGUGGAGAUUUAAGAAGAGAGAAUGCCGGAAUGAGUAGCGAGAUAGAAGUGAGAAUCUUCUAGGCCGAAUAUCCAAGGUUUCCAGGGUAAAGCUGAUCUGCCCUGGGUAAGUCGGGACCUAAGGCGAGGCCGAGAGGCGUAGUCGAUGGAUAACAGGUUGAAAUUCCUGUACCUCAUACAGACAGAACUGUGGGGACACGGAAGGGUAGGAAGAGCCGGGAAAGGAAAGACCGGUGCAAGCACAAAGGCGAGCCAUAGAGGCAAAUCCCUAAGGUGAUGCUGAAGUGUGAUGCGGAGCGAAGUUAGAAGUAGCGAAGCUUCCGAACCCAUGCCGUCGAGAAAAGCCGCUAUUGUUCUGUAUGAGCCCGUACCGUAAACCGACACAGGUGGAUGAGGAGAGAAUCCUAAGGCCGACGGGUGAAGCAUUGUUAAGGAACUCGGCAAAAUGGCCCCGUAACUUCGGGAGAAGGGGCGCCUGAGAGAUCAGGCCGCAGAGAAAUGGCCCAAGCAACUGUUUAGCAAAAACACAGGUCUAUGCGAAACCGAAAGGUGAAGUAUAUGGGCUGACGCCUGCCCGGUGCUGGAAGGUUAAGGGGAGAGGUUAGCCGAAAGGCGAAGCUUUGAACUUAAGCCCCAGUAAACGGCGGCCGUAACUAUAACGGUCCUAAGGUAGCGAAAUUCCUUGUCGGGUAAGUUCCGACCCG
This 1970-nucleotide ribosomal RNA is filed under the name activated sludge metagenome. RNAcentral's name for it is "bacterial LSU rRNA". It matches the Rfam family "Bacterial large subunit ribosomal RNA", at positions 3 to 1990 of the family's 2925-position model. The record is from RNAcentral.